GAUGAACGCUGGCGGCGUGCCUAAUACAUGCAAGUCGAACGAGGCCCUUUGUAUUCGUACGGAGGUGUCCUAGUGGCGAACGGGUGAGUAACACGUUGGUGACCUGCCCCGAAGAGGGGGAUAACCUCGCGAAAGCUUGGCUAAUACCCCAUAAGAUCCAUGGAGUUAGAGGUCCAUGGAUGAAAGGAGUAAUCCGCUUUGGGAGGGACCUGCGGCCCAUCAGCUAGUUGGUAGGGUAGUGGCCUACCAAGGCUAUGACGGGUAGGGGGCCUGAGAGGGUGGUCCCCCACACUGGAACUGAAACACGGACCAGACACCUACGGGUGGCAGCAGUAGGGAAUAUUGCCCAAUGGACGAAAGUCUGAGGCAGCAACGCCGCGUGCGCGAUGAAGGCCUUCGGGUUGUAAAGCGCUUUUCUGGGGGAAGAGGAAGGACGGUACCCCAGGAAUAAGUCUCGGCUAACUACGUG
Molecule: ribosomal RNA, 469 nt
Filed under: uncultured bacterium
Lineage: Bacteria
Description: bacterial SSU rRNA
Rfam family: Bacterial small subunit ribosomal RNA
Source: RNAcentral